This 253-nucleotide unclassified non-coding RNA is filed under the name uncultured Patescibacteria group bacterium. Its description in RNAcentral is "contains 16S-23S intergenic spacer region". It matches the Rfam family "Bacterial small subunit ribosomal RNA", at positions 524 to 776 of the family's 1533-position model. The record is from RNAcentral.
UACGAAGGGUGCAAGCGUUGUCCGGAUUUAUUGGGCGUAAAGCGUCCGCAGGCGCACAGGAAAGUCAUACUUCAAAAACCGAGGCUCAACCUCGGGCAGGGGUGUGAUACUACUUGUGUUGAAGAAUGUAGGGGCUACUGGAACUUUUCAUGUAGGAGUGAAAUCCGUUGAUAUGACAAGGAACACCGAGGGCGAAGGCAGGUAGCUGGGCAUUUCUUGACGCUAAUGGACGAAAGCCAGGGGAGCGAAACGG